Molecule: ribosomal RNA, 253 nt
Filed under: uncultured bacterium
Lineage: Bacteria
Description: partial 16S ribosomal RNA
Rfam family: Bacterial small subunit ribosomal RNA
Source: RNAcentral
UACGGAGGGUGCAAGCGUUGUCCGGAAUCACUGGGCGUAAAGGGUGCGUAGGCGGGUCUUUAAGUCAGGGGUGAAAUCCUGGAGCUCAACUCCAGAACUGCCUUUGAUACUGAAGAUCUUGAGUUCGGGAGAGGGAAGCGGAAUUCCGGGUGUAGCGGUGAAAUGCGUAGAUAUCCGGAGGAACACCGGUGGCGAAGGCGGCUUCCUGGACCGACACUGACGCUGAGGCGCGAAAGCGUGGGGAGCGAACAGG